Molecule: ribosomal RNA, 467 nt
Filed under: uncultured bacterium
Lineage: Bacteria
Description: partial 16S ribosomal RNA
Rfam family: Bacterial small subunit ribosomal RNA
Source: RNAcentral
GAUGAACGCUGGCGGCGUGCUUAACACAUGCAAGUCGAACGGAAAGGCCCAAGCUUGCUUGGGUACUCGAGUGGCGAACGGGUGAGUAACACGUGGGUGAUCUGCCCUGCACUUCGGGAUAAGCCUGGGAAACUGGGUCUAAUACCGGAUAGGACCACUUCUUGGAUGUUGUGGUGGAAAGUUUUUUCGGUGUGGGAUGAGCUCGCGGCCUAUCAGCUUGUUGGUGGGGUAAUGGCCUACCAAGGCGUCGACGGGUAGCCGGCCUGAGAGGGUGUACGGCCACAGUGGGACUGAGAUACGGCCCAGACUCCUACGGGAGGCAGAAGUGGGGAAUAUUGCACAAUGGGCGCAAGCCUGAUGCAGCGACGCCGCGGGGGGGAUGACGGCCUUCGGGUUGUAAACUCCUUUCGCUAGGGACGAAGCGUUUUGUGACGGUACCUGGAGAAGAAGCACCGGCUAACUACGUG